RNAcentral lists this non-coding RNA (28 nucleotides) under Homo sapiens (human). The record is from RNAcentral. Lineage: Eukaryota; Metazoa; Chordata; Mammalia; Primates; Hominidae.
CGUAUGUGGUGCAUAGACCGGUAAUGGC